RNAcentral lists this ribosomal RNA (628 nucleotides) under uncultured bacterium. RNAcentral describes it as "bacterial LSU rRNA". It matches the Rfam family "Bacterial large subunit ribosomal RNA", at positions 497 to 1119 of the family's 2925-position model. The record is from RNAcentral.
AGUACCGUGAGGGAAAGGUGAAAAGCACCCCGAUGAGGGGAGUGAAACAGUACCUGAAACGGAUUGCCUACAAGCAGUUGGAGCCCCCUUGAGGGGUGACAGCGUACCUCUUGCAUAAUGGGUCAGUGACUUAAUGUAUCAAGCAAGCUUAAGCCGUUAGGUGUAGGCGCAGCGAAAAGCGAAGUCUGAAUAGGGCGAUUUAGUUUGAUGUAUUAGACCCGAAAACCCGGCGAAUCUAGACAUGACCGGGAUGAAGGUGCGGUAACACGCACUGGGAGGUCCGACCCGAUUUAACGUUGAAAAGUUACCGGGAUGAGUUGUGUUUAGGGGUGAAAGGCCAAUCAAACUGGGAAAUAGCUGGUUCUCAGCGAAAGAUAUUUAGGUAUCGCCUCGGAUGAAUGCCUCAGGGGGUAGAGCACUGGAUGGGCUAGGGGGACUUACCGUCUUACCAAACCCAACCAAACUCCGAAUACCUGAGGGCAAUAUCCGGGAGUCACACGGCGGGUGCUAACGUCCGUCGUGGAGAGGGAAACAACCCGGACCUACAGCUAAGGCCCCUAAUUCGUGGCUAAGUGGGAAAGGAUGUGGAAGGCUAAAACAGUCAGGAGGUUGGCUUAGAAGCAGCCAU